AAUGAACGCUGGCGGCGCGCCUAAUACAUGCAAGUCGAGCGAGAAGACGUAGCAAUACGUUUGUAAAGCGGCGAACGGGUGAGGAAUACAUGGGUAACCUACCCUCGAGUGGGGAAUAACUAGCCGAAAGGUUAGCUAAUACCGCGUACGCUUCUUGGACUUCGGUUCAGGGAGGAAAGCGAUGCCGAGGGUAUCGCGCUCUUGGAUGGGCUCAUGUCCUAUCAGCUUGUUGGGAGGUAACGGCUCACCAAGGCUUCGACGGGUAGCUGGUCUGAGAGGACGAUCAGCCACACUGGCACUGCGACACGGGCCAGACUCCUACGGGAGGCAGCAGUAAGGAAUAUUGCGCAAUGGGCGAAAGCCUGACGCAGCGACGCCGCGUGGGGGAUGAAGGUCUUCGGAUUGUAAACCCCUUUCGGG
Molecule: ribosomal RNA, 420 nt
Filed under: uncultured bacterium
Lineage: Bacteria
Description: bacterial SSU rRNA
Rfam family: Bacterial small subunit ribosomal RNA
Source: RNAcentral